AGGGUUCGAUUCUGGCUCAGGAUGAACGCUGGCGGCGUGCCUAAUACAUGCAAGUCGAACGAGGUAGCAAUACCGAGUGGCGAACGGGUGAGUAACACGUAGGUAACCUGCCCUUAAGCUUGGGAUACCCAGAGGAAACUUUGGCUAAUACCGGAUAACAACAGAGAAGGCAUCUUCUUUGCUUGAAAGGCCCCUUCAAGGGUCACUUAAGGAUGGACCUGCGGCGCAUUAGCUAGUUGGUGAGAUAACAGCCCACCAAGGCGAGGAUGCGUAGCCGAACUGAGAGGUUGAUCGGCCACAUUGGAACUGAGACACGGUCCAAACUCCUACGGGAGGCAGCAGUAAGGAGUUUUCGGCAAUGGGGGAAACCCCGACCGAGCAACGCCGCGUGAGCGAUGACGGCCCUAUGGGUUGUAAAAAGCUCUGUUGUAAGCCAUGAAUGAUAGCUAUAGGAAAUGAUAGCUAUUUGACGACAGCUUACCAGAAAGCCACGGCUAACUACGUGCCAGCAGCCGC
RNAcentral lists this ribosomal RNA (516 nucleotides) under uncultured bacterium. RNAcentral describes it as "bacterial SSU rRNA". It matches the Rfam family "Bacterial small subunit ribosomal RNA", at positions 8 to 518 of the family's 1533-position model. The record is from RNAcentral.